This 492-nucleotide ribosomal RNA is filed under the name uncultured bacterium. RNAcentral's name for it is "partial 16S ribosomal RNA". It matches the Rfam family "Bacterial small subunit ribosomal RNA", at positions 28 to 507 of the family's 1533-position model. The record is from RNAcentral.
GAUGGACGCUGGCUACAGGCUUAACACAUGCAAGUCGAGGGGAAACGGCAUUGAGUGCUUGCACUGAAUGGACGUCGACCGGCGCACGGGUGAGUAACGCGUAUCCAACCUUCCCGUUACUGCGGGAUAACCUGCCGAAAGGCAGACUAAUACCGCAUGUUCUUCGAUGACGGCAUCAGAUUCGAAGCAAAGAUCCGUCGGUAACGGAGGGGGAUGCGUCUGAUUAGCUAGUUGGCGGGGCGACGGCCCACCAAGGCGACGAUCAGUAGGGGUUCUGAGAGGAAGGUCCCCCACAUUGGAACUGAGACACGGUCCAAACUCCUACGGGAGGCAGCAGUGAGGAAUAUUGGUCAAUGGGCGGAAGCCUGAACCAGCCAAGUAGCGUGCAGGAUGACGGCCCUACGGGUUGUAAACUGCUUUUAUGCGGGGAUAAAGUGAGGGACGCGUCCCUUUUUGCAGGUACCGCAUGAAUAAGGACCGGCUAAUUCCGUG